UUUAUGAGUACAACCCUACAGUCCCAUAUCUUUUUAGUUCUCUGCUUCUCUUGUCAAACUAAUCCCAAGCUUAGAUUCCUCCGCCAACUUGACGAGCGACCAAUCACUUGUAAAAAUUCUCAAUUUGGUCACUAAUCAACGUGGCCUGAAAAUAAACCAGAGUCUGAAUUCUGAUCUCUAAAAUUUUCUCGUCAAAGUUGUACAAUCCCAAAUACUUUGUGUUGAUUUGAUUUCUAGAAAAAGCCACUCAUCAGAUCCUAUGUGCAUUAAAUUCCUCUCCCUUUUUCAGUGUUAAGAGUUUUUUUGGGGGAAAACAGAGGGGCAAUUUCAGUGAGAAGUCAGAGGGCUCUGAAAUGGAGAAUCAGGGACUCGAGUAUAAUAAAAUGGUGCUUGCUCAAUAGACUGGAAAUACGGGUAAUGUUAAGGGUCGUUUGGUAGGAAGGAUACGGUUAGUAAUCCUGGGAGAAAAUACAUGAUUAUUUUAUCUUUGUUUGGUUAUAGGUAUUAAUAAGUCAUGUGCUAUAUGUUUUUUUGAAAUUAUCUUCCUGAUAAUCAUGUCAUAAGUCAAUUGUCCAUGGAAAGUGCGAUACACCAGCCGGCAUUGGUAAUUUUGCAAGAUGAAUAGGAUAAGGUAUGAAAAUAGGGUUUCAACAUAUAUUUGAAUAUUAAAGGUUGAUAGAAAAGAAACCGUUAGUUGAAGUAAAUGACGUGGAGUAAGAUUUAGGAUAUUUUGUAAAUGAAAAUUACUUAUGCCAAUAAGUGAGUGAAGUCAUUUCCACUCUUCUGGUGGAAAAUCAUGUGCAGAGAAAAUAUUUUCCAAAUUUUAGGAUAAGUAAACAGUAAGGAAAACAUUUUUGGAGGGAAAUGCUUUCAUCCAUACUGAACACACCACCUCAUAUAAUCCAUUGGCGGAUUUAACAAGCGUGCAGUUGGAGAUUUUAAGUAUAUCAAGCGUGCAGUUGGAGAUUUUAAGUAUAUCAAGCGUGCAGUUGGAGAUUAAAAAAAACAUAAAAGAUCAGUAAGAAACAUGUUACUUCCACGUGGGAUAUCACGCCCAUUUGGAAACAUUCCUCCAUUAGAGUAGACGACAAAGGUAAAAUAUAUAUACAAGUCUCAACUGUCAACGCUUCCAAAAGCUAUAACAAUCUUUAUGAAGACGACAAAACAAGCUUAUGGUAGAAGGUACAUUCGCAAAGAUAUGACCUACAUAAAACAAUUUUAACCAGAUAAAUGCUUACUUUGCGAGAAUAUAUGUACCAAAUGUCCUUUCACCUUUUCAGUAACGAAAUGAUGACGUACAUAAAUCUCCAACUUAUUUUACAAGAAUAUAUGUACCAAAUGUCCUUUCACCUUUUCAGGAACCAAAUGAUGAUUGACAAGCAGAAUUAAUAGCUAUCCAGUCUGAAGUAAGAUAGACAUUUGUCACUUGUACAUUCUCGUAAAGUAAGUUGGAUAUAUUCUCGCAAAGUAAGUUGGAUAUUUAUGUACGUCAUCAUUCAGUUCCUAAAAAGGUGAAAGCACAUUUGGUACAUAUAUUCUCGUAAAGUAAGUUGGAGAUUUAUGUACGUCAUCAUUCGGUUCCUAAAAAGGUCAAAGGACAUUUGAUACGUAUAUUCUCAUAAAUAAGCAUUUGUCUAGUUAAAAUUGUUUUAUCUACGUCAUCUUUGCGAAUGUACCUUCUACUGUAAGCUUGUUAUGUCGUCUUCGUAAAGAUUGUUAUAGUGUUUGGAAGCGGUGACAGUUGAAACUUGCAUACAUAUUUUACAUUUGUCGUCUAUUAUAAUGGAGGAAUGCUCCCAAAUGGGCUUGAUAACCCCCCGUGAAAGUAAUGUGUUUCUUAUUGAUCUUUUAUGUUUUUAAUCAUUGCUGUUUCUAUAUUUGCACUAGGUGCCACAUACUGGAUUAAAGAUGGUGGAGGCAUUGCAAGGAAAUUAGCAUCUUUUUGUAAUGGAGUUAUUGCAAUGGAUUACCCCAGAAUUGGGCUUUCAGAAGGCCUUCCUUCAUGGUUACAUACCAAGUUUUGACAAGCUGGUUGAUGAUGCCAUUGAGCAUUACUCAAAAGUUAAAGACUGCCUAUGAUGUCAUCUCUUACAAACAUAAAACCCGUCUACAGACCACCCUGGAGUUGCUGAAUGCCACAAAUGAGAUAGAGGGACUACUAGAAAAGGUGUGUCACGAGUUUCGACUUUUCUUUGAAUUAGUAUAGAAAUUCAUCACUGUGUUAAAUAUUUUCCAUUUAUGGGAGUUGCUCCACGGUCGGAAUGUAUUGCCCUGUGUUUGUAUUUAAUGAGGUUCCAGUUGUUUCUUGAUACUUAUUUUUUGAAUUAUGUAAUUUAUUCUAGUAGAUGUAUCAUCUUUAGCUCUUGACUCUAGUUUAGGAAACACUUGUCCUCAUUUAGCUUG
Molecule: long non-coding RNA, 2403 nt
Organism: Solanum dulcamara
Lineage: Eukaryota; Viridiplantae; Streptophyta; Magnoliopsida; Solanales; Solanaceae
Exons: 4
Source: RefSeq, a predicted model, not a curated record